CAGUAGCCACGGUAAUACGUAGGUGGCAAGCGUUAUCCGGAAUUAUUGGGCGUAAAGCGCGCGUAGGCGGUUUUUUAAGUCUGAUGUGAAAGCCCACGGCUCAACCGUGGAGGGUCAUUGGAAACUGGAAAACUUGAGUGCAGAAGAGGAAAGUGGAAUUCCAUGUGUAGCGGUGAAAUGCGCAGAGAUAUGGAGGAACACCAGUGGCGAAGGCGACUUUCUGGUCUGUAACUGACGCUGAUGUGCGAAAGCGUGGGGAUCAAACAGGAUUAGAUACCCCAGUAGUCCCUGUCUCUUAUAC
This 301-nucleotide ribosomal RNA is filed under the name uncultured bacterium. Its description in RNAcentral is "partial 16S ribosomal RNA". It matches the Rfam family "Bacterial small subunit ribosomal RNA", at positions 509 to 807 of the family's 1533-position model. The record is from RNAcentral.